UCCAGACUCCUACGGGAGGCAGCAGUGAGGAAUAUUGGUCAAUGGGCGGGAGCCUGAACCAGCCAUGCCGCGUGAAGGCGAGUGCCCUACGGGCGUUAAACUUCUUUUGUGCGGGAGCAAUAAGGGCCACGUGUGGCCCGAUGAGAGUACCGCACGAAUAAGCAUCGGCUAACUCCGUGCCAGCAGCCGCGGUAAUACGGGGGAUGCGAGCGUUAUCCGGAUUUAUUGGGUUUAAAGGGUGCGCAGGCGGAAUGUCAAGUCAGCGGUAAAAUUUCGGGGCUCAACCCCGUCGUGCCGUUGAAACUGGCGUUCUUGAGUGAGCGAGAAGUAUGCGGAAUGCGUGGUGUAGCGGUGAAAUGCAUAGAUAUCACGCAGAACUCCGAUUGCGAAGGCAGCAUACCGGCGCUCAACUGACGCUCAUGCACGAAAGCGUGGGUAUCGAACAGGAUUAGAUACCCCCGUAUG
Molecule: ribosomal RNA, 465 nt
Filed under: uncultured bacterium
Lineage: Bacteria
Description: bacterial SSU rRNA
Rfam family: Bacterial small subunit ribosomal RNA
Source: RNAcentral